AAAUGAGGUAAGUCUGGAGAUUGUAAAGAAAUACAUAUGUAUGUAUCUUACUGCAAAAGUAUAUUGGAAAUGAAGGAAUUACUUUAUCACGUUUUUUUAACAAUUUUUUGGAAAUUGCCCGCCAAUAAUGAUAGUAAACAGAUGUAUUACAGACUUGGGAGAAUUCCGUUGAGAUUUAUUGUAUCACUGCGACACCCAACGCCAGGUGACUAUACCAAGUUACUCAAUAUGAAAUUCGAUAAUUAAUUUGUUGUCGCGAAUAUU
Non-coding RNA from Schizosaccharomyces pombe (fission yeast), 264 nucleotides. NCBI's taxonomy places the organism in Eukaryota, Fungi, Ascomycota, Schizosaccharomycetes, Schizosaccharomycetales, Schizosaccharomycetaceae. The record is from the annotation of a GenBank genome assembly.